Long non-coding RNA from Physella acuta, 301 nucleotides. RefSeq lists it as uncharacterized. NCBI's taxonomy places the organism in Eukaryota, Metazoa, Mollusca, Gastropoda, Physidae. The record is from RefSeq and is a predicted model, not a curated record.
CUGUGUUCAAUAAACCAGACAUUUCAAGUGCUACCAAUGGUUCAAGUACGAUUAUUGGAGCUGCCGUAGGUGGUGCGAUAGCUGGGAUAGUUUGCAUUGCAGUUAUUGUAUUCAUAAUUAUUAAACGAAAAAGUAUCAGUGAGCUAAAGGUUUGCAGAAGGGAAGAAACAGAUGUGGGUAGAACAAGCAGAGAAGAGGAUUCGCCUAAAAUUUCAUCUGUGGAUGUUAACGAUACGGGUUAUGAACAGGUUGAUUUACCAGCAAACUACGAUAGAGUUGACGUAAACACCAACGUUGAUGG